This 10666-nucleotide long non-coding RNA is filed under the name Homo sapiens (human). RNAcentral's name for it is "long non-coding RNA NONHSAT207160.1". The record is from RNAcentral. Lineage: Eukaryota; Metazoa; Chordata; Mammalia; Primates; Hominidae.
AGAAACCUGGAGGGAGACCCCCAAAACUUCUCAGUUCGCCGACCCCUUGGUCCCAGAGGGAGAGGAGGGCACAAUUUGAAACCCAACAUUGAUUUGUGUGAUUAUUUGAUUAAUGUCUCCCUCGCCUCCAAGACAGACCUCACCUAAUUGAGCUGAACAUCUUUCCCGGCCUCUGGCACUUAAUAGGACAGGCUUUGGAGGCACACAGAGGACCACAGAGGCAGAGCCUCAUUUCCCGCUGGAUCGUCCUCUGCCCGGUGCUAGGGAUUCCAUGGUGUCAUUCAAGAGUGCUGCGACAUUUUUUAUUCUUUGGUAUCUAGGAAUCUGCGACUUCCCACUUUUCUUUCUCAUUCUCUGUCCACUCUUUAAGGCCUGGCUGGAGCCCUUCCCCUUCACGAAACCCCUUUUGUCCACUCCAGCCCACACAGUCUCCCCAGUCCACUUUUUUUGCAGCCCAGAUUCAUUUAGCCUUUAUUAUGCUCAGUUUAGGCGUCACUCUGUUUUACUCUCUAAGAGUUCCCUAGGCAUUCUUUUUCUUUCUAGCAAGAUGAUAAACUUCUUGAGGACAAGACGUUCUGCCCCACCACCCCCCUCCUGACCUGGGGGGAUAAAUGAAGGGUUUUGGUAGCAAUCAGGGAAGCUGGCCUACAUGCUACCUGCCUGCGUAUGUAAUGGUGGCUGAUGGUUCAAUAUUAAUGGAUACUGAAUAAGCCUGGCACCUGCUGGAGACAGCGAUGACAUUUGCUCUCACAGCAGAUGACAGGGUGAUUGAUGGCAGGCAUCUCUGGGUGGAAGCGAUGAGUUCUCCAGGGGCGAUGAAGGGGUUAGACUGGGUGCUUAGGGCCCUCAAGGGACCUCAAGGGAAUGUAGAGAAGCCUCAGGCAACCCAGGGUCAGGGGUGAGGGGACCAGGAAGAGAAAGUCCGCUCAGGAAGGGUGUAGGCUCGGACACUGUAGGAGGCAGAUCCAAGAGGCUUCCUAAGUCAGACCUCUUGUCUAAAUUGGAUGGGCUGAGAGCUUUGGAGUCACUGCUUUGCAUACGAGACCAUGGGGACAUAGAAUCCGUCAUUAUCCCUGCCAGCUCAGCUCAGAGGUCAGAACUGAGGAGGGAAGUGGUCAGGUUUAGGGUACAGGGAGAGAAGGUAGGACGUCCCCUCCAGGGCCUAGAGCUGGGGACCACAGCCAGGCUCUGGCAUGCCUGAAAACAGGGCACAUCGCAGGUGGUCGGUAAAGACACGUGGGAUUGAACUGAACAAUGAGGGAUUAAUAGAUUCUUCUUAAAAUUGUCUUAUGGUUUAAGGAGGGAACAGAACAGAGUUGGAAGUAGGGGACAGGAACUCAGAUGUGAUUUUAGCCAGGGCUUGGUUUAAGCUGUUGUGCUUCUUCUCUUGUGAUACUAGUUUGAGCCAAGGGCAGCAGGGGCUGCUCCUGGUGAGAGGACGUGGGCAGGGAUCCCAUCAGAGACAAGCCAGGCAGACACUGUCCAGAGAGGCCUCUCAGGAGGCCAGGACAGCCAGCUGCUUCUCCUUAAGGAGGAGGCCUCUGCUCCACCCUCCAUUCCUCCUCCCCUGGGCCUCUCUCCCUUUCUCCCUGUGAGAUCUUCUGCUACUCCAGCCACAGGAGGUAUAGAUCCAUUCCCAGAACAAAAACUGUCUGGCUGCUCCUGAAACACUUUUUCUCCUAUGCACUACUGGCUCAUCCUCAUGCCUCCAGCUCAGCUUAGACAUCCCCCUUGAAAAGGUCUUCUCUGAGUUCCUGUGGCUCCUGGGCCCAUGCCCAAGGCUGCCCUGUCACACUGGUCCCCGUAUUUUCUUCACAGCACUUAUCAUUGUCUGAAUUUAUCUCAUCCACCUCUUCUCUUUGUUGGGUAUCUCUCUUGCUUCCUUAGAAGGGAAGCUCCAUGCAGGGUUGUGGUCAUUCUCGACCAUGUUGUGCCCCAGCUUCUAGAACAGGGCCCACAUAGACAGUGGCCAGUGAGUAUUUGUUGAAUGGAUGAGUGGGUGGAUGACAGCACUUGGGAAGGCACCAAGUCUCAAGUGGGGUGGGAUUGGGGUGGGGUCCUAGCAAACCUCCUUGUCUCUCAUCCAGGACAGAAUAGAGCUGUCCUGUGGGGGAGCUGCUCACUGGGGAGAGGGCCUGUUGGGCCCUGGUAGAAAAUCCAUUCUGGGCCUGGGCCGGCCACUGCUUGCCCCCUGACAGAUGGUAUGCUAAGCAAUCUGUGAAAUGGGAUGCAACACAAGUUUCAUUUGAGCCUGAACCCCCAGAGGCAGGGAGAAGAAGAACCAAAAAUGUGUAGUCCUGCUCCCCUACCCAGGCACAGGCCUGGUGCCCUCGAGGGCCAGACAGUGCAGAGGGGACUCUGAGGGUGGGGGAGAGAGAGGCGUGGUCCCCGGCCUCUGAUGGAGUGGGAAGUGUGGUGCUGUGCACAGUGAACCUAUGGGGUUUACUAGACAGUGGCCUGUCUAGCAAUGGGCAGCAGGGAGAGAGCAGGGUUUCCAGACAGGCCUUUAGUUAGGUGCCCAGGCACAGGCAGGGCUGUCACACCUGUCUGCCCCGGCCCCCGAGCAUUUUGGGGAUUUUGGAUGGUGGCUCACCCUGACCUCUUUCCAGCUUUAGCACGAGAGUCCCAGCCCCAUUUUCUUUCCUAGCUAACUGUACCAUCACUGCCACAUCAGGGCCCCCAAUACAAUAAGGAGUUAAAGGAAAAGAGGCUACCUUGAGAUCCCCCUCUACCCGCCAGCCCACAGGGUUCCCCCACCUCAGAGUUCAGGAAGUAUUGGUAAAUGGAGGCAGGAGUGGGGCAGGGAUCCUCGGGGGAAGAUCUUAAGAACUUCACCAUGGAAUUAGCUGAUGACACUGGUGUCUUUCUUCUAAGGGGUGCCUAUCCUUUUUCUAUGCUUGCUAGGGAGCUUGAAUCUUUUCUUUUUAAGAGAGAAAAUUUCUGGGCUUGGGAAAGAGGAGCCUCAAGCUGACACUGGUCUGAGUGGGAAAAUUUGGGGCUGAAGUCCUUCCCUUGAAAAUGUGUCUGCUGGGCAAUGCUGAGCAAAAUUCCACAAAGGAGAGAAAGGGUGGAGGAGGGCAGAUUGCCCUUCACCUACCUCUGCGUCUUCUUUGCCUGCCCAGCCUUAGCUGGGCCCCACACCACUAAUGGAAUUUCCAUCCUCAUCCCAUAGCAUCCCCAAAGAACAUUCAAGUCUGAGCCUCAAGGAGCCUCUGCGACUCGGUGUCUAGAUCCAGGAAAUGGAGAAUGAGCCGUGACUUUGGAUGCUUCACUCUUGUCCAUCAGGCUCGGAAUUGGUGAGCAUCUCCCACAUUACCGUCUCCAACGGAACAAGGUGCCCCAUUGGACAUUUCCUCUGCAUGGACCAGCCAUUCUCCAAAUCUGCCCCCAUGUCACCCCAGCUCCCCAUCGCAGUCACUUCUCACUCCUUGUCCCCUGUCCCCCUGAGUGACAGGACUUUUGCCAGUUAGGUCCUGUCCCUGUUUCUGAUCUUGGGCCUGUUGAAGUAGGAGGCAGGACUCAACUUCAGACCAGAUUGAAGACUGGCUGACACAGAAGAGGCACCAAAAGCACCUCUCUCUCCAUAAGACAUGCCCACCAGUGCCAUGACAGUUUACCAUUGGUAGCCCGGCUCUGCAGGGACAGUCACGGAGCUGAAAAACUGCUGCCUAAUGAAGCUGUUUUCUUCUACCACCGGCUCACCCUCAAAUUAUUUCCUGAGCGAACUCAAGAACCUUCCUGGGCUAAGCCCCAAUUUUGGGGCUCGCCUGCCCCUGCAUCACAGCUUCCUCUUCUGUUCACAGCUGCAACCGCCUACUCAACCUUCUGCGGUUCCUCUCCCUGCCCCUCCACAGUGGCUGCUGAUGGGAGCUCUGGCUCCCUGCGUUUUCACUAUCUCCCAGUCAAAUGCAGAGUCCCUGUGCAAUUUAAAUGCUUCUCAGCUAAGAACAGAGAAGGGGAUAGCAUAAGGAUAUUCAAAAGAUUCAAGAAAUCUCAAAAGUGAUCACAAAACAUUUGUCUCUGACCAACCAGAAACAUCGACGGGUGAGAAGGGCAUUUCCUCUAGCUGAAUUCUUCAUGGGUCUUCAGGCUCUGUUUUCACUUUGGAUUUUCUGGAGUCUCCUGAAGGUUACCUGAAAUCUUGUUGGUCCUGAAUAUUGUAUGUGGAGUCCCAAGCUGCAAGAAGUCAGUGGGGCUGGACGGGAGCCAAAAUCAGAGACUCAAGCAGCACAGCUGGGCCCCAUUGAAAGUGAGACCAGCUGUCCCAGUUGGAAGCUGGGGUAUAGAGCUGGGGAUGGGUGGAGGCAGUGACAGGCUCCAUGUAUUGGUCAUUCAGACUCCCCAGUAGCCUCAGGACCCAACUCCCACAGGUCAGAGAAGACCUGGUGGAGGGCCUUAUGCAAACCUCAGUGGGUGAUGCAGGAGGGAGUUUUCUGAGCAGGAAUGCCAACAAAAAAGGCCUUCAAAGGAAGGCCCUGCUUGGGACAAUCCUGCCUCUUUAUGGUCUGGUUCACAGGUUCCCCUGGGUGGGGUAAUGGAAUCCAAGCUAAGGUGUCUGACUUCAAAAGUUUUCAGAAAUGCCACUUUUGUAAGCAUCAGGGAUUGGGUUUUCUGAGAUGCAAAACAUCUUUGUUAAGGGGUUAAAGCAUCCUUAAGCUGUUUAGGUUUCUGGGGAUACAUAGACUUAGGAAGUUAGAGCAGGUGAAGUUGAGGGGGAUGGGAACUAAGAAUUAGCUCAAAAUAGUCACCAAUGCAGAAACCCAGGCACUUGGGACCCUGACAGUGGGGAAGGCAGAGGAGUAACUGUGGGGACUUGGGCACCCUAUUAGCAGAAUGGGGUAACAGAGAAGGCAAGAAUUGCUUCCCAGGAGACUGGGCUGGGAACAGGAAGGGGACUAAAAUGCUGUCCCUGGCUGAAGAGUGUGGAGGUAUAGAGGAGCUGGUAGCAGGGCUCUGAAUCCAUACACGAGAGCAAGGACCAGUGGUUUCAGGGUGGGAUAGGGCUUUGAUGUCUUCAUGGACUUAGGGUAAUAUUCACCACCAUGGUGAAUUCCACAAAGGAGAAUUCACACAAAGGUCUCGGACCAGCCAGUUUCCAUGUGAAAAAGCCAUCUGGGAGCAAGGGAACAAACCCAGGAAUACAACUGUAUUGGGGGAAAUUCAGCCAGACAUAGGGCAAAAUUCACCCCCAAUAUUUCAUGUAGGUUCUUUUCUAUUUUCCGUAAGUGUCGGCCGGUCUGAGAAAUAAAGGGACAGAGCUCAAAAGAGAGAAAUUUUAAAGCUGGGUGUCUGGGGGAGACAUCACAUGUCGGCAGGUUCCGUGAUGCCCCCCGAGCCGUAAAACCAGCAAGUUUUUAUUCGUGAUUUUCAAAAGGGGAGGGGGAGUGUAUGAAUAGGGUGUGGGUCACAGAGAUCACAUGCUUCACAAGAUAAUAAGAUAUCACAAGGCAAAUGGAGGCAGGGCGAGAUCACAGGACCACAGGACCGGGGCAAAAUUAAAAUUGCUAAUGAAGUUUCGGGCAUGCAUUUUCAUUGAUAACAUCUUAUCAGGAGACAGGGUCUGAGAGCAGACAACCGGUCUGACCAAAAUUUAUUAGGCGGGAAUUUCCUCGUCCUAAUAAGCCUGGGAGCGCUAUGGGAGACUGGGGCUUAUUUCAUCCCUACAGCUUUGACCAUAAAAGACGGCCGCCCCCCGAAGCGGCCAUUUCGGAGGCCUACCCUCAGGGACACAUUCUCUUUCUCAGGGAUGUUCCUUGCUGAGAAAAAAAAUUUAGCGAUAUUUCUCCCAUUUGUUUUUGAAAGAAGAAAAAUAUGGCUCUGUUCUGCCUGGCUCACCGGCAGUCAGAGUUUAAGGUUAUCUCUCUUGCUCCCUGAACAUUGCUGUUAUCCUGUUCUUUUUUCAAGGUGCCCAGAUUUCAUAUUGUUCAAACACACAUGCUCUACAAACAAUUUGUGCAGUUAACGCAAUCAUCACAGGGUCCUGAGGCGACAUACAUCCUCCUCAUUUUACAAAGAUGAUGGGAUUAAGAGAUUAAAGACAGGCAUAGGAAAUCACAAGGGUAUUGAUUGGGGAAGUGAUAAGUGUCCAUGAAAUCUUCACAAUUUAUGUUCAGAGAUUGCAGUAAAGACAGGCGUAAGAAAUUAUAAAAGUAUUAAUUUGGGGAACUAAUAAAUGUCCAUGAAAUCUUCACAAUCCACAAUUAUUCUGCCAUGGCUUCAGCCGGUCCCUCCAUUUGGGGUUCCUGACUUCCCGCAACACAAGUGGAGAGAGAGGUGGCCUGACAUUAUGGCUAAGUUGAUAUGGAAGCAUUCUGGUUUGUUCUAGAAAAAAUGAAAGAGGUGGUGCAGGUAAUCAUCAGCUCCUGGUUCUGUAGCAAGGCUUUUGCUGCAAUCCCAGGAGGUAGCAACCUAGGCUUUGGUUCUGAAAGAAGAGGGUCUACCUUCCUGAAUCAUUUUUAGGAGUCUGCUGAUGGCCAGGCUUGGUGAGUUGGACUCUGUAAGGAAUUUUUAUUUAAGUGAGGUCUGGGUAGGAAAAGAGAAGGGAAAAACUUGACCCUGCCUGCACCAAAGGAUUCUGGGAAGGAGAAUAAAGAGAAAAACCCUUCUUCAUGUUUCUGCUUCAGAGCAGGAGAACCAUCACAAGCUAAGUAAAGUCAAUGAAGGGCGAGUGGCCCUAUGGCCACCUGGGCACACACCUGCCCCUUGGCCACCUUGCAUAGGCAGGCUGAGGAGGUCACUAAGGCUUGGUUUUCCUGACCUGCCCUGAUUCCACAUGCUGUAAGGAGGACCCAGAAGGCUGUGUGGCUACAGAGGUGCCCAGCAUGGUGGGGGUCACUUCAGUGUGGACACUAGACUGGACCGCGUGGAACUACAACCAGCUCAGAGCGCCAGCCAGAGUGCUGUUCUGGCCAGAAGGAGGAGCCAAGACCCACACCCAGGAGGACAAUGAGCCCCUCUCUGCAGACAGGAGCCAGCCACACCUGGGGUCUGGGGAGACUCUUCCUGAUUCCAAAUGGGACUGAACUUUAAACCAGACUGGGCAUUUGAGCAAUUUUUUAAAAGCUGUCAACCAAAUAAAGGAAUGCCAUUUUCUUUACCCAGUCAUCGAUUGGGCUGUUACUGCAGAGUCGGUGGAAGGGUUUGUACAGGGGCCAUUGCAAGGGAGGAAACCAUCCUGCCACUGGGAACCAGGAAGACGGGUGAAAGGCAAGGAAUAUGCAAAAUGAGUCUCAGCUCUCCUUUGAGACACCUUCCGGCCCUGGCAGAGUCCAGUGGCAGGAGCUUUGGUAUGAACCAUGCCCGGUAACAGGGACUGUGCAGAGGAAGAAUCCCAGCUAGCCUAUGGAUGAAGAGCUCAGUGAAAGGAGGGGCAGACAGGACCGAUGGCUGCCACCUUGGACCAUGAUGUGGGAGCCACGUUAUGAGAAUGGCAGAGCAACCAGAUAGCGUUGGCACCACCAAUCCCAGCCCUGGACUUCCCAUGGUAAGGAGAGAGAGAAACGUCUUAUGGGAGCCACCAUCAUUCUCGUGCAGCAAACCUGAUCCUAACACACAGCACCAAGACCCUGCCUCCUCCUCUCCCUUCCCUCCCAGUGCCGACGAAGACCUACUAUGCAGAGAGGAUAGAGGAGGGACACAGAGGCCACUGGAGGUGAUUUGAAAAGGACGAGGACACCUGGGAACAAGGCAAUGAAGGUGGCUAGGACAGAGGCAUGAGGACAGAGCCUGGGGAGGACUCAUUAGUGCAGGGCUGACAGGCAGAGCCUUCCCAGGAACUCAGCCAGCAGAACCUGACAGCCAUGAUUUGGGCCUGCCCACUGCCCCAGGGGCCCUCCAACCCAGUCCUCCCCAGAGGGCUGAGGGCCCUCCCUCCCCAUACUCAGCAAUACUCCAGAGCCUACUUCCCCAUGGAGGCCCAAUCCCCUUCCCGGACGAGGCAGCUGGUGGUGUGUGGGUGCUGGUCUGGUGAGAGAGGGACUCCUUGGAGACUGAGGCCAUGGGGGAGGGAGUGUCUGUCCAUACCUGCAGGUUUGUCCCAAAUUUAGACCCCAGGUCUGGAGGUGAACACAGCCCCACCUGAUUCCUGGGAAGCCACGCUAUCUAUGCAGCUCGCUUCUUAGAAGCGGGCUUCCUCUCCAUCCCCAUCGAACUCAGUGCAGUCAAUGCCUACUGAGCUCCUACUGAGUACACUACAUGGAUGUGGGUUCAGGUGCUAAGGAAAUAAACCAGGCCCCACACUGCAGUCCCCAGGGCGCAGUGCCCUGACAGGUUGCCCCAAGACUGUGGUGUGCUGGGAAAUGUUGAACACCCAGCUCUCUGAAGGAGAACACCUGGUUUGUGGCAGUUGCAGGUUUGUAGUGUUUCGUGAUCUAAAUCAUCCACCCUGGCCAAUUCCAAGUUGUAAACACAGAGUCCUUGAAGUCAGGAAGGCCCUGGCCCGGCUCCCAGGCCCAGCUCCAGCACCCCACUGCCAGGGGCUGCUCGCCUCCGGUCCCAGGUCCUCACCCCACCACCAGCAGGUCUCGGCCCUGUGCCUCAUAGGUUCCCAGCCUUCCCCUGCUUGGGCCCUGGGUUUGGCUCUGGGGCUGACAGCCCGUGCCUUGACUGUGGCAUGUGGGCUGUGGCUGCCAGGUCAGGAAGAAUCAGUGGACAGUUGGUCACAAGCACCCUGGUCCCAAAUCUUGAAAUGCUCACGUUCUUCAACUUCUUCAACUACUACCCCACCCCUCCAGGCCUUUUCCUCUCUCUGACAGCUUCACUUCACCCCAGUGUCUCCUCCUCCUCCUCAGAAGUGGCCGUUCCCCAGCAUUUGGAGCCCAGGACCCCUCCCAGCCCUGAAGCAUUUGCCUCCCAGCCUCCCCCGAACCUUGCUCCCCUACUGCCACCCCCUGUCUGUCCCGGAGGAGGCCUCAUAGACACUUGCUGCGUGCCACUCCAAGGAGGCUGUGGUGCUCCUGCCAACUCUCCAGUGGCUGCCACAACUGCUGUCUUCAGGAGGAGGAGGGAUGGCCCCCUCAGCCUCCCUGCCUCUGCUAUCUCAGCCCCAGCGUCCCGGCAUCAUCUGCUCCACCUCCAGGCAAGUCAGAGCCAGGCUUGCCAUCUGCCUGGCAGCCUGGGGCACUGUGCCUUUAUGGCUCCCGGGUAGGACGUGGACCUGGGCCCCAGCCCCUGGGCGCCAAGGUGCCAACCCUGCAGGGGAGUUGCUUAAUGACCUUCAUGAGCAGUAAUUACACCCCAGGGCCCUCUCUUAAUAACCACGUAUUCUCCCUGUCAAUGUGCCUUAAUUGAAAAUGAGUAGGCGAUACAAGUUGCUGUGAAGUUGGCUGGCAAGCCCUUAACGUGAUAUUAAUUGUAGUAAUUAGUAGUCACUUUGUGUUGGAGUCAUCUAUAAAUAGGGGGUCCAUUAGUUUAGCAAAAGAGCAUGAUUUAAAAUGCAAAUAAAAGCCCAAUUAGACAGAUAAAUCGCUUGUCUUUUCCAGCAAAUUAUCAUCUUCCAGAAGGACGGCAGCCACUUUGGGGCUGCACUGCUCAGUUCAGGGGCUCUGAACUCUUUAUACCACCGGAGUGGCCCUUUUGAUACACUGUCCCUUUAAACAGGUUUGCACCAAGCUUCCUCAGGAGGCUGUCACUCUUAGAGCAGUCCCUAUAGACUCUUAUUUUAUUGGCACAACUGGUGGUCAGGGCCCCAAGUAGCUCCUCCCCCUGUAUGCUGAUUGGUCCCCUUUGGUGACACAGAAGCACAUUUUAAAGGAAUAGUAGCACAGUGCGUAAGGCACUAGGAGAAUGGGUGGGGGGUAGGAGGGGUCUACUCUUUGAAUUUGGCUCUGCACGGUCCAGACAGAGUGAACCACCAAUGCUAUGUGUUGUCCUGUGACCCAAAAAAGUUAAAAAUAAACUCACACCAUUGUUGUGGGGCUGGACAACUUACUUUCCGCUUCUUUCUCUCUUCUACAAAAGCUACUUACGGUGGUUGCAGAGAUUUCUCUCUCUCUCUCUCUCUCGCACACACACACACACACACACACACACACACACACACACAGUAUUUCUCAUAGGCUUUGGGCAAACAUUUCAGGUGCAAACAACUGGAAGUAGAAUGUGGCAGCUAGGGAGGUGUUAAGAGGGCGCAGCUUCAAGGCCAGAGGGGAGAUUUCUAGUUCAACCUUCCUUUGACUAGAGCUUCACCAGUUACCCAACACUUUCUCCCAGGCCUGUGUUUCAAACUUCUCAAUUAAAGAGGCUGUUGAGAUGUGCGUGGGGACAUGGGUGUGAGUUCUUCCCUCUCUGGCUUGUUGAGCUUCUGGAGAACUGGUGUCCUGGGCUCAGCUCGGAGCCCUUCCUGUCCCCUCCUUCGGCCUGCCACACCCCCUCCCCACGAGCCCUUCACUCCUUUGUGGCCAACUGAGGCUACCCCUCAGACAGCAUUUGCAUUUUAAUAAGACCCAAAGUCAAAAGAUAAAACAGCUAUUCCCAAACACAGGGAACACUAACAAUUGUCUCUUCCAGCAGGAGUUUCAUCUUUGUCCAAAAAAUGAGGAGAACACAGGAAACUUGAAAGUAUUAUCCUUGAUUAUAUUAUCCUUUUAUGAUUCAAUGUUUGCAGCAGGUGGUAGUACUUGCUAUUUUUAAUGUCCUAUUUGACAAAAUAAAAUAUUGGCAACCCUGU